Molecule: ribosomal RNA, 484 nt
Filed under: uncultured bacterium
Lineage: Bacteria
Description: partial 16S ribosomal RNA
Rfam family: Bacterial small subunit ribosomal RNA
Source: RNAcentral
AUUGAACGCUGGCGGCAUGCUUUACACAUGCAAGUCGAACGGCAGCGCGGGCUUCGGCCUGGCGGCGAGUGGCGAACGGGUGAGUAAUACAUCGGAACGUGCCCAGUAGUGGGGGAUAGCUCGGCGAAAGCCGGAUUAAUACCGCAUACGACCUGAGGGUGAAAGCGGGGGAUCUUCGGACCUCGCGCUAUUGGAGCGGCCGAUGGCAGAUUAGCUAGUUGGUGGGGUAAAGGCCAACCAAGGCGACGAUCUGUAGCUGGUCUGAGAGGACGACCAGCCACACUGGGACUGAGACACGGCCCAGACUCCUACGGGGGGCAGCAGUGGGGAAUUUUGGACAAUGGGCGAAAGCCUGAUCCAGCAAUGCCGCGUGUGUGAUGAAGGCCUUCGGGUUGUAAAGCACUUUUGGCGGGAACGAAAAGGACUGUGCCAAUACCACGGUUCGAUGACGGUACCCGCAGAAUAAGCACCGGCUAACUACGUG